Molecule: ribosomal RNA, 425 nt
Filed under: uncultured bacterium
Lineage: Bacteria
Description: bacterial SSU rRNA
Rfam family: Bacterial small subunit ribosomal RNA
Source: RNAcentral
GUGGAAUAUUGGACAAUGGGCGAAAGCCUGAUCCAGCAAUGCCGCGUGUGUGAAGAAGGCCUUAGGGUUGUAAAACACUUUCAGCAGAGAAGAAGUAUUAAUUGCUAAUAUCAAUUGAUAUUGACGUUAUUUGCAGAAGAAGUACUGGCUAACUCUGUGCCAGCAGCCGCGGUAAUACAGAGAGUGCGAGCGUUAAUCGGAAUUAUUGGGCGUAAAGGGUGUGUAGGUGGGUAAAAAAGUUAAAUGUGAAAUCCCUAGGCUUAACUUAGGAACUGCAUUUAAAACUAAUUACCUAGAGUAUUGUAGAGGAAAGUAGAAUUUCCGGUGUAGCGGUGAAAUGCGUAGAUAUCGGAAGGAAUACCAGAAGCGAAGGCGACUUUCUGGACAAAUACUGACACUGAGACACGAAAGCGUGGGGAGCAAAC